RNAcentral lists this ribosomal RNA (253 nucleotides) under uncultured bacterium. RNAcentral describes it as "partial 16S ribosomal RNA". It matches the Rfam family "Bacterial small subunit ribosomal RNA", at positions 524 to 776 of the family's 1533-position model. The record is from RNAcentral.
UACGGAGGGUGCAAGCGUUGUCCGGAUUUAUUGGGUUUAAAGGGUGCGUAGGCGGCCUAUUAAGUCAGUGGUGAAAUCCUGCAGCUUAACUGUAGAAUUGCCAUUGAUACUGAUGGGCUUGAAUUCAGGCGAGGUAGGCGGAAUUGACGGUGUAGCGGUGAAAUGCAUAGAUAUCGUCAAGAACACCGAUUGCGAAGGCAGCUUACUAGACUGACAUUGACGCUGAGGCACGAAAGUGUGGGGAUCAAACAGG